CCUACGGGAGGCAGCAGUGGGGAAUAUUGCGCAAUGGCCGAAAGGCUGACGCAGCGACGCCGCGUGUGGGAUGAAGCUCUUCGGGGUGUAAACCACUGUUGCCCGGGACGAACGGCGAGAUUUUUCUCGAUUGACGGUACCGGGUGAGGAAGCACCGGCUAACUCCGUGCCAGCAGCCGCGGUAAUACGGAGGGUGCGAGCGUUGUCCGGAAUCACUGGGCGUAAAGGGCGCGUAGGUGGCUUGGCAAGCGUGUGGUGAAAGCCCGGGGCUUAACCCCGGGUCUGCCGUGCGAACUACCAUGGCUAGAGUACUGUAGAGGCAGGUUGAAUUCCGGGUGUAGCGGUGGAAUGCGUAGAGAUCCGGAAGAAUACCGGUGGCGAAGGCGGCCUGCUGGGCAGUUACUGACACUGAGGCGCGACAGCGUGGGGAGCAAACAGGA
This 440-nucleotide ribosomal RNA is filed under the name uncultured bacterium. RNAcentral describes it as "bacterial SSU rRNA". It matches the Rfam family "Bacterial small subunit ribosomal RNA", at positions 338 to 777 of the family's 1533-position model. The record is from RNAcentral.